Molecule: long non-coding RNA, 793 nt
Filed under: Cyanistes caeruleus (blue tit)
Lineage: Eukaryota; Metazoa; Chordata; Aves; Passeriformes; Paridae
Description: lncRNA (ENSCCEG00000024378.1)
Source: RNAcentral
GUUAGACUGAAUAAUUUAUUUUUAAAAAUACUUGGAGAGCACUUUCUGAUUCUUCAUCCUGAUAUUAUAUACAGGUUGUAUUAAUAUAAAAUGUUCUCUGUCCCCACCAGAGCUUUCCAAGAAAGAAAAGCCUAAACACAAAACCAAACUUUAAAGCCCACAUUUGUUUUUAACUACUAGAAACACAUAUCCAUUAAAGGGUUAAGUUAGAAAAUAACUUGGGAUAGGAAGUUUUGAAUUUAUUAAAUAUCAUUAAUCUCUAAUAUUAAUUUAAAUCAUUAGUAUGUAAAUUCCUCCAAACAGGACAAGUAAACUAGAAAAUGACUUGGGUGUCCACGAUGAUGACAACACAGGGAUGACUGAGAGAACAAUUACUGGGAUGAUAGUGGCAAAAAUGAUGGGCUGGACAUGGCCAGUGGUGACUCAGAGGCUGGCUUGGAUCUGCACUUGGAUGAGAACAGCUCAGGCCUUGAGGCAGCAUUUGCUGGGCCACUGACCUGCAAUAGUGAGAGCACUGAAUUUCCUCCUCCAUCAAGCUGCUCAGAGCUCCUGCUCUUCCUUCCAGCUGUUUGCCUGCCCCUGCUCCCCUUCUGCCCUCCCCAGCAUAGCUUCCUCAUUUCACAGGCACCCUGUACAUAAAAUUUGCAGCAACAGUGAAUAUACCCGUGUGGAGAUGCUGAAUAUUUUUAUCUCUCUGUGAAAGAACUGAAACUUUGUUAUUUCACUGCUUAAUCAAGGUGAAGUGCAGAGCUCCUGAGGAAAUUCUGUAAAUAAACACAAAGAGUGCUGGGCA